Molecule: ribosomal RNA, 494 nt
Filed under: uncultured bacterium
Lineage: Bacteria
Description: partial 16S ribosomal RNA
Rfam family: Bacterial small subunit ribosomal RNA
Source: RNAcentral
ACGAACGCUGGCGGCGUGCCUAAUACAUGCCAGUAGAACGCUGAAGGAGGAGCUUGCUUCUCUGGAUGAGUUGCGAACGGGUGAGUAACGCGUAGGUAACCUGCCUGGUAGCGGGGGAUAACUAUUGGAAACGAUAGCUAAUACCGCAUAAUAGCAGUUGUUGCAUGACAACUGUUUGAAAGGUGCAAUUGCACCACUACCAGAUGGACCUGCGUUGUAUUAGCUAGUUGGUGGGGUAACGGCUCACCAAGGCGACGAUACAUAGCCGACCUGAGAGGGUGAUCGGCCACACUGGGACUGAGACACGGCCCAGACUCCUACGGGAGGCAGCAGUAGGGAAUCUUCGGCAAUGGACGGAAGUCUAACCGAGCAACGCCGCGUGAGUGAAGAAGGUUUUCGGAUCGUAAAGCUCUGUUGUAAGAGAAGAACGAGUGUGAGAGUGGAAAGUUCACACUGUGACGGUAUCUUACCAGAAAGGGACGGCUAACUACGUG